AGAUUGAACGCUGGCGGAAUGCUUUACACAUGCAAGUCGAACGGCAGCACGGGGGUAACCCUGGUGGCGAGUGGCGAACGGGUGAGUAAUACAUCGGAACGUGCCCAGUCGUGGGGGAUAACGUAGCGAAAGCUACGCUAAUACCGCAUACGAACUCUGGUUGAAAGCGGGGGACUCGCAAGAGCCUCGCGCGAUUGGAGCGGCCGAUGGCAGAUUAGGUAGUUGGUGGGGUAAAGGCUCACCAAGCCUGCGAUCUGUAGCUGGUCUGAGAGGACGACCAGCCACACUGGGACUGAGACACGGCCCAGACUCCUA
RNAcentral lists this ribosomal RNA (315 nucleotides) under uncultured soil bacterium. Its description in RNAcentral is "bacterial SSU rRNA". It matches the Rfam family "Bacterial small subunit ribosomal RNA", at positions 26 to 341 of the family's 1533-position model. The record is from RNAcentral.